GCCAGCACCUUGCCUACAAUACUGCAGGAGAUUGGAUCAUCUUCCUGGAAACCUAGAUAAGGAAGAGGUUUGGAAGAGCCUGGGAAGAGGCCUAAAAGAACAGCCAAAGGACUGAAGAAAGUACCACAAGAAUGGUGUUUUUGGGCAAGAAAGAUGAAGACUCGGGGAAACCUGGAGAGAAGAGGAGCUGCUCAUGUGUCUCCUCGAAUCCAAAAGACCAUGGAAGAAUUCCAGCAAGAAAAACUUCUUGUUAGUCUUGGUCUGGACCAAGCGAGUGAACUGAGGAAGGCUUUACAUUUUUAUAAUUUUUUCAAAUUUUAUUUACCCAGGAAAGGGAGAGGGAAACUGAGACAGUAGCUGUACCUGACAGUGAAAGGACUUAUCCUGACCUUUAUUGCAUUUUUAAGCAUGUACGUCAGUUGGAGUGCAUAAGUGCUUUGCUGGAUUGGAGUGAAAGCACCUUGAAAGUUUGAACCCUUGAGGAGACAUAGUUAUGUAAUCCUGUCUCAGCCAUUGGGUAGACAAACAAAAUAGCUAUUGGCCAGGUAAUGGUCUGAUCAUGUCCUGAGCACACUCAAGUCUUAGUUGGUUUUAGUGGGAAUUAAGGGCACUUAAAAACUCAAGAUUUAGGACAGCAAAUAAAGCAAGACUAUUCUAGAUUACAUAACUCAUAUUGAACCAGUUGUAUUGUGUUAGGCAAGCAAUGGUAUAACAGAUAUAUUUUUAUACUUAUCGUAUUUCAGUUUGAU
Molecule: non-coding RNA, 749 nt
Organism: Pelodiscus sinensis (Chinese soft-shelled turtle)
Lineage: Eukaryota; Metazoa; Chordata; Testudines; Trionychidae
Source: RefSeq, a predicted model, not a curated record